ACUCCUACGGGAGGCAGCAGUGAGGAAUAUUGGACAAUGGGCGCAAGCCUGAUCCAGCCAUGCCGCGUGCAGGAAGACUGCCCUAUGGGUUGUAAACUGCUUUUGUACGGGAAGAAACCACCCCCUCGUGAGGGGCUUGACGGUACCGUAAGAAUAAGGAUCGGCUAACUCCGUGCCAGCAGCCGCGGUAAUACGGAGGAUCCGAGCGUUAUCCGGAAUCAUUGGGUUUAAAGGGUCCGUAGGUGGAUUGGUAAGUCAGAGGUGAAAGCCUGCAGCUCAACUGUAGAACUGCCUUUGAUACUGCUAGUCUUGAGUCGUUGUGAAGUGGUUAGAAUAUGUAGUGUAGCGGUGAAAUGCAUAGAUAUUACAUAGAAUACCAAUUGCGAAGGCAGAUCACUAACAACGUACUGACACUGAUGGACGAAAGCGUGGGGAGCGAACAGGAUUAGAUACCCUGGUAGGCUCUGCU
Molecule: ribosomal RNA, 469 nt
Filed under: uncultured bacterium
Lineage: Bacteria
Description: bacterial SSU rRNA
Rfam family: Bacterial small subunit ribosomal RNA
Source: RNAcentral